CAGGAACUGGAGGCAAGAACUGAAGCAGAGGCAGUGGAGGGAACACUGCUUAUUAGCUUGCUCUCCAUAG
This is a microRNA precursor of Cricetulus griseus (Chinese hamster), 70 nucleotides long. NCBI's taxonomy places the organism in Eukaryota, Metazoa, Chordata, Mammalia, Rodentia, Cricetidae. The record is from Ensembl.